Long non-coding RNA from Diachasmimorpha longicaudata, 768 nucleotides. RefSeq lists it as uncharacterized. The record is from RefSeq and is a predicted model, not a curated record. Lineage: Eukaryota; Metazoa; Arthropoda; Insecta; Hymenoptera; Braconidae. The transcript is spliced from 3 exons.
CAUCUCCUGACGACUGAAAACUUGUGAAUUAGUCGCGUGCCGACGUGAUACUGCACGAGUAGUUGAUUUGGACUAGUACGGUAUUAGCGGCCGAAGACCAGUACGAGCCGGUGAGGCUUUCAAACGUCAAAAGCCCCGCAGAUUUACAACGAUUUCGCUGGCAUCGUGGGUGGAACUAUAGGCGGAAAGAAUAUAUGGGGAUGAGCGAGACGGGUGCGGAUGCGAGGAGAUAAAUUAUUAUCUGCUAGACAUCUUCCAGGAAUCUCCAGAUGAAUGCGAGAAAGGUCCCCGGAAGAUGUGAUUGGUGAUCGGAAAUCUCGUGUAGAAAAUUCCUCGUCAGUUGAAGACCUUUACAAUCGCUCUAUCGAUGAAACUAUUAAUACAUUGAUUUCCGAUAGUUUCCAAUAGUCAAACAAUAAUCUUAUUUUGGAAGCUCACGAUUAGUCAACAUUUCGAUGAAACACCGGUGAAUUUUUUAUUUCCAAAUGUUUUCGAUUGCGUUCGUUAAUAAAUUUAUGUUAAUUUCUUCCGCUCUGAAAUGACGUGUCUAGAACAAUUUAUUCAAAUUAGUCAUGAAACCGUUCAAUCAAUACCGCCCAACCCCUUCCCUCGGUCCUUCGCCCUCAGAAGUCGGUAUUUGCUGGCGAUAGUGGAUAUCUCCCUGAAGAGGCUCGUGAUUAACCCACCCCUGUCUAUAACUCUCCAGUCGACAAUUCGAUAACUGAAAGAUGAUGAAGCAGAGAGGGAGGGAGCAGUGCUGCCACCGAC